ACUGCCCUUAGAGGCAUUGCAGGUGUGGCUUCUGUGUCACAUGUGUGUCAGUAGGUGGCAGAGAGGAGAGAGGCUAAGUCUAUGCUCAGUGUUCUAACCUGUGAACAUUUGAGUGAUUAGUAUCCUAACACU
Small nucleolar RNA from Acomys russatus (golden spiny mouse), 132 nucleotides. RefSeq annotates it as small nucleolar RNA SNORA17. The record is from RefSeq and is a predicted model, not a curated record. Lineage: Eukaryota; Metazoa; Chordata; Mammalia; Rodentia; Muridae. The transcript has a single exon.